RNAcentral lists this small nuclear RNA (105 nucleotides) under Colobus angolensis palliatus. Lineage: Eukaryota; Metazoa; Chordata; Mammalia; Primates; Cercopithecidae. The record is from RNAcentral.
GUGCUCACUUCAGUAGCACAUACACUAAAAUUUGGGAUGAUAGAGGGAAGAUUAGCAUGGCCCCUAUGCAAGGAUGACAUACAAAUUCAUGUGUCCCAUAUUUUU